Molecule: ribosomal RNA, 253 nt
Filed under: uncultured bacterium
Lineage: Bacteria
Description: partial 16S ribosomal RNA
Rfam family: Bacterial small subunit ribosomal RNA
Source: RNAcentral
UACGUAGGUGGCAAGCGUUGUUCGGAAUUAUUGGGCGUAAAGGGCGCGUAGGCGGUUUGUUAAGUCGGCUGUGAAAGCCCCGGGCUCAACCUGGGAAUUGCGGUUGAAACUGGCGGACUAGAAUCUGGCAGAGGGGGGUGGAAUUCCACGUGUAGCAGUGAAAUGCGUAGAGAUGUGGAGGAACACCGAUGGCGAAGGCAGCCCCCUGGGCUGAGAUUGACGCUCAGGCACGAAAGCGUGGGGAGCAAACAGG